This 23-nucleotide microRNA is filed under the name Homo sapiens (human). RNAcentral describes it as "hsa-miR-6848-5p". Lineage: Eukaryota; Metazoa; Chordata; Mammalia; Primates; Hominidae. The record is from miRBase by way of RNAcentral.
UGGGGGCUGGGAUGGGCCAUGGU